This 253-nucleotide ribosomal RNA is filed under the name uncultured bacterium. RNAcentral describes it as "partial 16S ribosomal RNA". It matches the Rfam family "Bacterial small subunit ribosomal RNA", at positions 524 to 776 of the family's 1533-position model. The record is from RNAcentral.
UACGUAGGGGGCAAGCGUUGUCCGGAAUUAUUGGGCGUAAAGAGCGCGUAGGCGGUCCGGUAAGUCGGUUGUGAAAGUCGGGGGCUCAACCCUCGGAUGCCGAUCGAUACUGUCGGGCUAGAGUCCGGAAGAGGCGAGUGGAAUUCCUGGUGUAGCGGUGAAAUGCGCAGAUAUCAGGAGGAAUACCGGUGGCGAAGGCGGCAUCCUGGACCGACAUUGACGCUGAUGAGCGAAAGCUAGGGGAGCAAACGGG